Molecule: ribosomal RNA, 775 nt
Filed under: uncultured Bacteroides sp.
Lineage: Bacteria; Pseudomonadati; Bacteroidota; Bacteroidia; Bacteroidales; Bacteroidaceae
Description: bacterial SSU rRNA
Rfam family: Bacterial small subunit ribosomal RNA
Source: RNAcentral
CGCGAAGGCAGCUCACCGGGCCGGAACUGACACUGAUGCUCGAAAGUGCGGGUAUCAAACAGGAUUAGAUACCCUGGUAGUCCGCACAGUAAACGAUGAAUACUCGCUGUUUGCGAUACACUGUAAGCGGCCAAGCGAAAGCGUUAAGUAUUCCACCUGGGGAGUACGCCGGCAACGGUGAAACUCAAAGGAAUUGACGGGGGCCCGCACAAGCGGAGGAACAUGUGGUUUAAUUCGAUGAUACGCGAGGAACCUUACCCGGGCUUAAAUUGCGCUGGCUUUUACCGGAAACGGUAUUUUCUUCGGACCAGCGUGAAGGUGCUGCAUGGUUGUCGUCAGCUCGUGCCGUGAGGUGUCGGCUUAAGUGCCAUAACGAGCGCAACCCUUAUCUUUAGUUACUAACAGUUUUGCUGAGGACUCUAAAGAGACUGCCGUCGUAAGAUGCGAGGAAGGGGGGGAUGACGUCAAAUCAGCACGGCCCUUACGUCCGGGGCUACACACGUGUUACAAUGGGGAGCACAGCAGGUUGCUACACGGCGACGUGAUGCCAAUCCGUAAAACUCCUCUCAGUUCGGAUCGAAGUCUGCAACCCGACUUCGUGAAGCUGGAUUCGCUAGUAAUCGCGCAUCAGCCACGGCGCGGUGAAUACGUUCCCGGGCCUUGUACACACCGCCCGUCAAGCCAUGAAAGCCGGGGGUACCUGAAGUACGUAACCGCGAGGAUCGUCCUAGGGUAAACCUGGUGAUUGGGGCUAAGUCGUAACAAGGUAGCCGUA